UUCCUCCCUCAAUGGCGGUGGUGCCGCCAAAGAGAAUGAGGCGGGGGCCAUGGGUCUUGGUGGCGGCAACGGCAGUGAGAGUGUGACCGCAGCGGGGCCCUGGCGCGUCCUCAUCGCCGUCCCAAUAGGCCUCUAACGGACGAUAGGUUGGAGCCGGAUACAGCCACGGCUUCGAACCCAUCCAAAACCUCCCACAAAUUACCCAAAAAAAUAAAUAAAUAAUUCUAUAAUAAUAAACCAGAAAUUGGUCCCAAGCUCAAAUGACUAUAUCUAAACAAAAGAAAAAAACCCAAUUUAUACAACAAUCGCAAUAGUAAUCAACCAAAAAUGGCUCCAAAGCCCAAAUGACUGUACAUAUAGCCAAGAAAAAACCAAAAAAAAAAAUAAAAAAGAACCUCGAAAGUGAUGCAGCAAUAACAGGGUAUCCAGAGCCAGCCACUGGAAUGUGGUGACAGAUAUAUUUUUGAAAAAAUAAAUUAGGAAAUGGAUUAUUUUUCAGGGCUUGUACAUUAAUUACGUUAGAAGCUGUGGAAGGGUGAAAGAAUUUUUUUCGGUAGAAGUGAAAGUUAAGGAGCACUGACAAGAAACAAAGAUUUAGCAAAUUAGGAAAAUUCUCUUAUUUCACCUAAGCACCGUCUCAUAGGCCAAAAUUUUCUAUCAAAAGUGAAAAAUCAACUCCAAUUUUAAAUUUUAAGGGUAUUUGAUAUCAUUUUUUUCCAUGAAAUUACAUUUUCUAACUUUUAUUGGGAAUUGAAGUUUUCUUUGUUUAACACCUUUUUUUUUCUUUUUUUUUUCUUUUGUUUGCAGUAGGAACAAAUUCUAAGAUUUACUGUACAAAAAUAUUUUCCUUUAAUUGACAAUUUUUAUGUAAAAUAAAGCCAAACGAACAUCCAAAAAUAGAUGAGUUUCUUGUUAUUAUUAUUUUUUUGGCAAUGGAAACAAAUUUCAUUCCCAAUACCAGUAAAUUAUAUCCCUUUAAUUGACAAUUUUCAUGUAAAACAAAGACAAACGGAUACCAAAAAACACUUCAAUUAAAAUAUUUUUCAUGUAAAAAAUUAUACCAAUCAAACACAAUAAUUUACAAUUCCCAGAAAAAUAAUUUUUCAUCAAUUCAAUUCCCUGAAAUUCGUUUUCUUUCCACCCAAAUUCCACCUUUGCAAUCAAACGGACCCUAAGAGAAAAAAAUGAAUAGGAAGCAAAAUAGAUAAGUAGGCAAACAUGCUUCAUUAUUUGAUACUUUUCAUCUCUCUUUACUUAUAAGUAAAAUAUAUAAGUAGCCAAACAUGCUUUAUUAUUAUUUUGAGAUUUUUUUUUCGGACUACUAAUCUAGAAUAGGAAGCAUUUUCUUCGGUCAAAUUAUUUGAAUGUAUAGGUUCGAUAAAGUACUUGGAUGUUCCGAAAUCAAGUUGUAUAACUUAGUUUGCAAGAAAGUAGAAAUGAGACUAAUAUCAUUCAAAGGAAUUUUAGUUGAAUGAAAAGGAAGAGUUAAUUGAAUAACAACUUCUAAAUUAUUUUUUAUUCGAUCACUUUGACCAAUUCUCUCUUUUCUUCAAUUUGCCAUGGCUAUGUUGCUCCAAAACCGAGCUUGCAACAAGAGGGUGCCUCAAAACGAAGCUGAUCAUAUAAAUCAAAGUGUUAAAAGCAUAGGAAAAUAUACUAGUAUUACAAAAAGAAAUCUUCCACUCCAAGUAUUAUUUCGAGGCGUUCCAGAAUCGAACUUUCCAAUUAUGGGCCUAGCAAAACAUAAAUUGGGAUAGGAUAUCUACAGAGGAGGGUAGAAGAAUUAAACCUAUUAUGAGACGUACAAUACAUUGCAAACAUAGUUAUCAAAAAUCGAACUGGCAAGGAACUAGUAAACCGGACACUAAUACGAUCUAAUAGACAGUAUUUGGUCCAUUUACAAUGAAACAGGACGAGAACUACCCAAAUCGGUUCAUAUAUGUCGUAAACUAUGAAAGUUUAGUUGAAUUGAAGACCAGUUCAAUGUUCGAUUUUUAUUAAAUUGGUACAUAACAAAAUUUAAUAUCAAAAUUGCUUAAAGUGAGACUCAAAAUCCAAUGAGACUAAAUGACAUUACUCAUAAUUCAUUCGUCAAUAAGGUAUCCCUGUAUUUGUGAUUCAAUUUAUGACCAAGGUAAGAAGGCAAAAACGAUGGAUAUCCUUUGGGCUUGUGGUUAUUCUUAAGACCCAAUUAAGAAGAAAAUGAUGAUGAAUUGUGUUGACUUAAAAGAAAAAUGUUGAAUAAGUUUAUGUUUUGAUUCUUAUGAUUAUGAAUUUUAGGAAAACUAAUUGACGUAUGAUGAAGCGAAUAAUCGAACAAGCACAAUCCCAAACAGUACCUAUUCACAACUAACUUUGUGAAUCAUGAUCUAAGAGUUGAAGAAUAAUUCUUCAAUUGUAUUUUAGUAAAUUAAAGGAAAAAAUCUUUAAUCUUUUACAUUUGCUUCCAUAUAAAACGCCAAAAACGAAUAAACCGAUCAAAUAAUGGGAUGAGAAAAAUGAUGAAUAAAAUUGGGACGAUGAAUACAUUACAAUAUUGUAAUUAUAUAAUAUGCUGUAAUAAAUUUUAUGAUGAAAAUAUUAUUGAACUCCGUCAUUUGUACACUAAAUUUUUACAUUUUGGUUGACAUUUACAUUAUUGUCAAAUGUCAAUUAGAUAAAAAUCUAUUUAAAAUUUAGAGCCUGUUUAAGAGGAAUUUUUUCCUCCAAAAAAUUGAUUUUUGACCGUUAUUUCACUAUUAUAGUCAUUAUAUUUGACUUCUUCUCUCACAGGUGAACCUCAUUUUUUUUCUAACAGUCAAAAAAUCAAUUUUCAAAAUUACCUCCAAACAGACUCUUAAAUUGUCCAAUUAAUCAGUGCCACAUGGCAAAACAUAACAAGGUUUAAUAUAAUUACUUUAAAAUGUUUUACACAUAAAUUUAAAACUUUCCCCCAUCUUUUUAACCACAUAUUCUUUCAAAAAUUACUAUCCAACAUCUUUUUUCUUAGCCCUCAUUUGGCCCCCAUUUUCUCGAAACGAAAAUAGAUAAAAUAACAUUUAUUUUAAAAAAUGAGUGAUUAAAAAAAAUGAAAUGUUUUCAAUUUAAAUAUAAUAUCAUUUUAUGAAAAAUUGUGAUUGAAAAUAAAAAAGAGAAAUAAAAUUUAAUGAGGCCAAAUGGAAGAUCAAUAACAGCCGUCGACCAAGGGCUAUAUACACAGAAAAACAUUUUACGAACACCUUACCUAACAUGCUUAUACAGUCAGGUUUGAGCUUCCAACUUAUUUACAAACACCUUAUCGAUCUAAGUUAAAAUAAUGCCAAAAUAUAAACAGUUCAGUUUCAAUCAAUUUUCAACAAUCUAAAUCGACCCAUUUCUAAAUGGUGUUUGGUUUGGUUUAAAUUGAAACAUUGACAAGUUCACUAAAAUAAAAACCAUUGGUUUCAAUUUGAUUUCACAAUUUGGCAAUUUUUUGCACACCUAUAAGCUAAACCUCAGCAAGUCACGACAAUCACCAUUGAAUCUGAAUGCCGAUAGUGCAAAUGUAAAAUAAAUACUAAGAAAAUUCCCAUCUUUAACUCAGAAUUUGUAUACUCUGCCUCAGAACUACUAUUCUUUGUUGGGCACAAAUCAGGUCAGCAAAUAGCAAUGACAGCGCUUACUAAUCAGCACUACCAAGUAAAGAACAUCAUCGAGCAGCACACUAAACCAUGAAGUUCACAAAGAAACUGUUCUGAAUAGAAAUUGCCAAAAAAAUUUAUAACAAAGAUUUCUUGGACUCGGAUAUAGCAAAAACAUUAACCAGUGCCUCCAAACUCAACCCAAGUCAAGAAAAACCAAACAGUAACAAUUAGUGGUUCUUGUUCCACAAAAACCACACGCAAGUGAGGUCAAGCCAACUGAACCCACCUUCACCACAGCAUACUGGCAUCUUCAACAUUUGAAAACAGAGCACAUAAUGAUAUUAGGAUCCAAUUGAAUUCAAAAGAUUAGUUCUUUAUAAAUUAUAGGCCAAAUGAUAAUCAGAGUCAAUCCACAUAUUGCAGACAAGGCAAUUGCCCAAAUAGAAAAACACAGAACAACUACUUCUUAAGUUGCAUAAUGUAAGAAUAACUGAUUAAUGACGUUUAAGUAAUAGACUCUUAUAAUUAAUGAAUAUGUUCUGUGUAUUAUAGCAAAAUAAGAUAAGUUUUUAAUCAACCAAACAUCUGAACAUCAAAACUGCCAAAAAUAAUACAUAAAAACUCUAGAACUCUUGGGAAGCAGACCCAAUCUCUUUGUCUUUUCCUCCAGCUUUCUUCGGCAACAAAUUCUGAUGUAUAUUAGGCAAAACCCCACCAUUUGCAAUUGUAACAUUUCCGAGAAGCUUGCUCAAUUCUUCAUCAUUCCUUACGGCCAGUUGUAUAUGCCUAGGCACAAUCCUGUUCUUCUUGUUGUCCCUGGCAGCAUUUCCCGCAAGCUCCAAAACCUGAAUCAUCAGGACCAAUGAAUAAAAUACCAAACUGAAAAAAAAUGGACAAAUUGAUAACAACCAAAAACCCUAACCCACCUCAGCAGCAAGGUAUUCAAGGACGGCGGAGAGGUAGACGGGGGCACCAGCGCCAACACGUUCGGCGUACUUUCCGGCCUUGAGGAAUCGAGCGAUUCUGCCAACGGGGAAUUGGAGGCCAGCCUUACUAGAUCGGGAUACGGAUUUCGAGGCCUUUGGCUUCCCUCUGCCGCCCUUGGUGGAGGCUCCGCCUGUUGAACUCAUUUUAAGAUUUGUGUUUUACUGCAAACCCUAGAAAGUAAAUGAAAUUGGAAUCGAAAUUCGUGAGAAAACGCUGAGAUUUUACGAAGAUGGAUUGGUGUGCACAGGGUUUAUAUAGGAAUUUGCUGAGUGGUGUGUUAGAAAUUGAUUGGUGAAUGGUGGAGUGGCGCGGAUCGAUGACGUGGCUUGAAAAUUGAAAACGACGGCUUUAGAAUUUGAAUUGUACUUUGAAAUUAAAAUUCGCGCGUGAAAUGCAGCGCCUAAAAACAAGUCACUAAGCGAGGAAAUACACAAAAAUGACCCUUACACUGUAGCAAAAAUUGACAUUGGCCUUUGACCAAUUAAAUAAAUUAAAAAAAAAACAAAUUAAGUUAAAAAGAAAACUUCACAGUAUUUUCCCAUUUUACCCUUCAAACUGUUUGAUAAUUCUCUCACCGACCGAACCGACCGACCAGUGGAGAAAUCCGACGGACCGACCACCGGAGUUACACCAACGUCGCAAUGAACGAUCAUCAUCUACAGUGGAAGUAAAAGAACCGGUUAGUUUUCUGAUCAAAACUCCAGUUCGAAUGCUUUUUUUCAUAGUUAGCAUCCUUAGUAAUUUUGGUUGAAAUUAGAUCCAUGGGCAUGAGUAGCUAGAUUGUGGGCAUGUUGGAAUGUGAAAAAUGUGAUUUUUUGCCAUUUUUUUGGAGCUCAGUGGCCGGGAAUGGCGGUUUCCGGCCGUUUCCCGGCCACCGGGCCUGAACAGCCAAAAACCAACUGUAACAGUCGGGUUACCGACUGUUACACUGUCUGGGCCGACACAGUCGGGUAUCUGGGCCGGAUCACCGGCCCAGAUAAUAUUUAAAUUUUAAUUUUUUUUAUAAUUUUUGUAAUUAAUUAAAUUUUUUAUUUGAUUAAAUAGUAAUUAUAUUAUUUAAUUUUUUUUAUCAUUGUCAAUAUAAUAUAAUAAUUGAAAUAUUGUAAAAUUAACAAUGUUGAUUAUUUUUUUUAUGAAAUUAUCUUUAAUUUAUUUUUUCAAAUUUUUUUUAUGAAAUUAUCUUUAAUUUUUUAUUUCAAAUUUAUUUAAUUUUUAUAUUUAUCUUUUAUAUAAUUUAAUAAUUGAAAUAUUGUAAAAUUAACAAUGUUGAUUCAAUUUUUUUUAUGAAAUUAUCUUUAAUUUAUUUUUUUAAAUUUAUUUAAAUAAUAUAAUAGUCUUUACAUUUUAAAAAAAGGUAAAGUAAUUAUUUAUUUAAUUUUUAUAUUUGUCUUUUAUAUAAUUUAAUAAUUCCUAAUUUCAUUCCUGAAAACAACUCUUGUGGCAAGCUUUAUCAACUAAGCCUCAAUUUCAUGAUUUUAAACAGCAAAACUUUAUUGCAUGUGACAACUCCUGCCAUCAAGGCAAUUUCAAAGCCAAUUAUUAGAGGAUCGUGAGUAGAAAGGGUGGACACAAGACCAAUUGUCUCUUCAUUUGCAGAAGGAACUCUUUCAGGACCUUGAGUGCAACCAGUUUCACUUAGCUCCUGAAUAUUCAGAAAAUAAAAAGAAAAGGAGAAAAAAAGAUUGAAAAAGUUAUGAUUUCGAUUGAUAAAAUGACAUGAUUUCCUUAAUCUAAAUUAUAUAAUGAAAAAUCACAUUGAAGGGUGACUGAAAAUCAAAGAUUGACCUCACCAUCAUUGCCGCUGACUGUAACAAGGUAUCUUUGCGCAACCAAGUCCAUGACGUGGCCAUAUCUAGGUCCCGGCCCCAGUCCUUGAACUACAACUCUGAGCUCCAAAAAGUGCAACGGCCAAGUCAAAGAUCAAGAAAAUCAAUUGUACCAUUCUCGGAAAGAAAUAUAGAAUUUGCAACUAUAUUCUAGAAGCUUACCGAUGCCACUUGAAUUUGUCAUUGGUCAUGUCAAGCACAUACAAGUCAUCAGUAGAAUGCCCUGCGGGACCUAUACCACCCUAGCAAAGCAGAAACUAUUGUGUUCCAAUCCAUUUCAAAAAACUAAUCUUAAACCAAAAAAUAAAAAGCAUCAAUUUUUGCUUAAAUUUACAGUUUUUUGCACACCAAUCACCUGAAAAACAACAAUGGUGCCGACGGCAGCAGCAGCAUGUGCAGCCCUAGGCGAAGGUGGGUCGCCGGCUGGUUGGAGUCUAAAUAAUGUGAAAGAAAAAAGAAAAAGACAAAAAGAUACUAUCAGCAUUUACUUUGAAGUGGAUUAUUCUAAAUUCCCACAAAAUAAAUUGGAAAAAAUACACGUAAAAAUUGAAGGAGCUAAAAUCGAACAUACCGGAUCCAUUUUCGGGUGAGAACAUCAUAGGAAUGAACUGAAUUAGUAACUCCAGCUAACCCUGAAAAUCAAAUUUAAAACAAAAAAGUUAACUUCCAACACAACUCGCAAAAUAAAAAGGAAGAGAAUUCGAUAGGAACAGUACGGAUGCCGGGGGCACCAUCGUUUCCUCCCUCAAUGGCGGUGGUGCCGCCAAAGAGAAUGAGGCGGGGGCCAUGGGUCUUGGUGGCGGCAACGGCAGUGAGAGUGUGACCGCAGCGGGGCCGUGGCGCGUCCUCAUCGCCGUCCCAAUAGGCCUCUAACGGACGAUAGGUCGGAGCCGGAUACAGCCACGGCUUCGAACCCAUCCAAAACCUCCCACAAAUUACCCAAAAAAAUAAAUAAAUAAUUCUAUAAUAAUAAACCAGAAAUUGGUCCCAAGCUCAAAUGACUAUAUCUAAACAAAAGAAAAAAA
This 7440-nucleotide long non-coding RNA is filed under the name Olea europaea (common olive). RNAcentral describes it as "long non-coding RNA (OEUR_LNC010739)". Lineage: Eukaryota; Viridiplantae; Streptophyta; Magnoliopsida; Lamiales; Oleaceae. The record is from RNAcentral.